AAAAUCCGUCGACUUUUAAAAUCGUGAGGGUU
Molecule: transfer RNA, 32 nt
Filed under: Orthocarpus luteus
Lineage: Eukaryota; Viridiplantae; Streptophyta; Magnoliopsida; Lamiales; Orobanchaceae
Also listed under: 2 other names
Description: partial tRNA-Leu
Source: RNAcentral